ACUGUGCAAAGGUAGCAUAUUUAUUAGUUUUUUAAUUGAAAGCUUGUAUGAAGGNUUGGACGAGAUGAAAUCUGUCUUUAUUUAAAUUAAAAUAUAAUUUAACUUUUAAGUAAAAAGGCUUAAAUGUUUAUAAAAGACGAGAAGACCCUAUAGAUCUUUAUUUAAUUAAAGUUUUAAUAAUUUAGGAUUAUUUUAAUUUAAAGUUUUAAUUAAAUUUUAUUGGGGUAAUAUAAAGAUUAAAUAAAUUCUUUUUGUUUAUAACAUUGAUUUAUGAAUAAAUGAUCCAUUAAUAUUGAUUAUAAGAUUAAGUUACCUUAGGGAUAACAGCGUAAUUUUUUUGGAGAGCUCAUAUCGAUAAAAAAGUUUGCGACCUCGAUGUUGGAUUAAAAAUUAGCUUGGGUGCAGAAGCUCAAGAUUUUGGUCUGUUCGACCAUUAAAUUUUUACAUGAUCUGAGUUCAGACCGGCGUGAGCCAGGUCGGUUUCUAUCUUUAUUAAGAUAAAAUGUUUUAGUACGAAAGGACCAAAUAUUUAAUAUAAUUAUAUUUAUUUUUUGAAGAAUAUU
RNAcentral lists this ribosomal RNA (563 nucleotides) under Cicindela (Rivacindela) sp. JP-51. Its description in RNAcentral is "partial 16S ribosomal RNA". The stretch from base 132 to 491 matches the Rfam family "Bacterial large subunit ribosomal RNA", at positions 2075 to 2645 of the family's 2925-position model. Lineage: Eukaryota; Metazoa; Arthropoda; Insecta; Coleoptera; Carabidae. The record is from RNAcentral.